Molecule: transfer RNA, 82 nt
Filed under: Chroomonas cf. mesostigmatica
Lineage: Eukaryota; Cryptophyceae; Pyrenomonadales; Chroomonadaceae
Rfam family: tRNA
About the family: Transfer RNA (tRNA) molecules are approximately 80 nucleotides in length.
Source: RNAcentral
UGUAGCAUAGUGGAUAAUGCGUCUGUCUCCUAUAUCUUACCUUUCAGAGUCAACAGAAGGUCGUGGGUUCGAAUCCCAUUUG